CGAAAGCCUGACGGAGCAACGCCGCGUGAGGGAUGAAGGCCUCUGGGCUGUAAACCUCUUUUCUCAAGGAAGAAGAUCUGACGGUACUUGAGGAAUAAGCCACGGCUAAUUCCGUGCCAGCAGCCGCGGUAAUACGGGAGUGGCAAGCGUUAUCCGGAAUCAUUGGGCGUAAAGCGUCCGCAGGCGGCCUUGAAAGUCUGUCGUUAAAGCGUGGAGCUUAACUCCAUUUCAGCGAUGGAAACUACAAGGCUUGAGUGUGGUAGGGCCAGAGGGAAUUCCCGGUGUAGCGGUGAAAUGCAUAGAUAUCGGGAAGAACACCAGUGGCGAAGGCGCUCUGCUGGGCCAUAACUGACGCUCAUGGACGAAAGCCAGGGGAGCG
This 379-nucleotide ribosomal RNA is filed under the name uncultured cyanobacterium. RNAcentral's name for it is "bacterial SSU rRNA". It matches the Rfam family "Bacterial small subunit ribosomal RNA", at positions 376 to 770 of the family's 1533-position model. Lineage: Bacteria; Bacillati; Cyanobacteriota. The record is from RNAcentral.